AUGAAGGUUUGUGGAUUGUAAACCCCUUUUGAUUGGGAAGAAUAACUGACGGUACCAAUCGAAUAAGCCUCGGCUAACUCCGUGCCAGCAGCCGCGGUAAUACGGAGGAGGCAAGCGUUAUCCGGAAUUAUUGGGCGUAAAGCGUCCGUAGGUGGUUUAGUAAGUCUGCUGUCAAAGCGCGGGGCUUAACUCCGUAACGGCAGUGGAAACUACUAGACUAGAGUGUGGUAGGAGUAGAGGGAAUUCCCAGUGUAGCGGUGAAAUGCGUAGAUAUUGGGAAGAACACCGGUGGCGAAAGCGCCUUGCUGGGUCUGCACUGACACUGAGGGACGAAAGCUAGGGGAGCGAAAGGGAUUAGAUACCCCUGUA
RNAcentral lists this ribosomal RNA (369 nucleotides) under uncultured cyanobacterium. Its description in RNAcentral is "bacterial SSU rRNA". It matches the Rfam family "Bacterial small subunit ribosomal RNA", at positions 408 to 792 of the family's 1533-position model. Lineage: Bacteria; Bacillati; Cyanobacteriota. The record is from RNAcentral.